UUUGUACACACCGCCCGUCGC
Molecule: non-coding RNA, 21 nt
Filed under: Arabidopsis thaliana (thale cress)
Lineage: Eukaryota; Viridiplantae; Streptophyta; Magnoliopsida; Brassicales; Brassicaceae
Source: RNAcentral